This is a long non-coding RNA of Sarcophilus harrisii (Tasmanian devil), 3834 nucleotides long. NCBI's taxonomy places the organism in Eukaryota, Metazoa, Chordata, Mammalia, Dasyuromorphia, Dasyuridae. The record is from Ensembl.
CAGUGACAGAGGCAGGAAAUAGAGACAUAAUAGCUUCUUCCUGACGGGGGAGACAGUAAGUCACACCGGAAGCCUGAGAGUUCCUCCCUCCCCCCCCCCCCCCCAAUCUGAGCUUCCAAGUGUCUCCUGCAGAAAUCCUGGGGGGGGGUCCCCCUCCCCCCUCCUCGACCCUUUGGGGGCUUCCGGGCAAAGUCUGCUUCUCUUCCUGAGCAAACUGUUUCCUGGGCUCUAGACUGUGGCCGAUUGUGAAGGGGCAGGGCAGGUCCCCGAGAGCCUCCGCAGCCGGGGAUCAGAGGCUCUGCGGGAGCUGCGGGGCCGCCUUUGCCGACACAGGUGCUGCUUGUGGAUGGGAACGAGAUAAAUGGGAGGCAGAGGGAAGGGGAGGGAGUCAGACAAGGCCUCUCGGUCGGAGAAAGCUACGGCCUCUGGGUCUCCUUGUGUCGUCCUCUCACCGAGGGGGUCCCUUCUGGGCCGGAUCCCCAGCAGCCACUGUCAGGUCACCGGCCACAAUCCCACAGAAGUGGAGACAGCAUGGAGCUGAUUCCAGUCCCUGCCGCACUUGCUGCCCAUCCAGAAGAGCAAAUCUCCAGAGAAAUAAAUACAAGAGCUGUAGUCAGGCGUUCCUGAGCACAGUCCAGCUCCCCAUCUACCAACUGGAUCCGACGGUUCAAGGAAGCCACCUCAGCCUCAGCCUGUUCCAGGGCCCGUUUCUCCCCCUCCACCUCCUGCUGGAGACGCUCGGCCCUCUCCAAGGUGUCAUUGGCCUGCUGCUGCAGAACCUGAAUCUUGCGCUUCACCUCCUCGAUGGUGGUGAUACCAGCCAUGGUGCCCACCCCGUUCUGGCUCCCACUCCGACUGCUACCUCCUCUGUUCGGUGCUGCUGCUGCUUCUCAACCUGAAGGUUUUUCUUAAGGAAUUUAUUAAUACCUUGUUCAAUUUCUUUUUCUAAAAUGGGACUAUUUAAGUAAUUUAUUUCCUCCUUUGUUAAUCUGGGCAAUCUAUAUUUUUGUAGGUAUUCCUCCAUUUCACUUAGAUUAUCAAAUUGAUUGACAUAUAGUGGGACAAAAUCACUCCUAAGUAUUGCUCUCAUGUCUUCUUUGUUGCUGGAAAGUUCUCCCUUUUCAUUUUUGAGGCUAACAAUUUUAUUUUCUUCUUUCCUUUUUCUAAUCAAAUUAACUAAAAAGUUUAUCUAUUUUGCUGUUUUUUCCUUAAAAGAAACUCUUAGUUUUAUUUAUUAAUUCAAUAAUUUUCUUAUUUUUUAUUUUAUUUCUUAUUUUUCAAACUUUAUUAAUCUCCCCAUUUAUUUUCAGAACUUCAAAUUUGGUAUUUAAUUGGGGAUUUUUAUUUUGUUCUUUUUCACCAUAAUCACUGUCACAGUAUAAGUGAUGUCAUUGUCAUGUAGGUACUUUUGUCCCUCUCACAUCUUUACUGUCAUUGUCUCACCCUCAUCAGCACCGUGACAUAUACAACACAAUUAAUAUUUGCAUUAAAAUAAUCAGCUCUGUAACAACAAGGCCGCCAUAUUACUGUCUCAUCACCAGGAAUACUGUAUUAAUGUCCCUUCCCUACCAGGAUGACUUUUACAUCUCCGCUCUCACUGUUAAACCCCCAGACUUGCACAUACCCAUCAUCCCCACAACAUUCCCAGAAUCUCCUUCUCAAUAUAAGCCCCAUCACUGUCUUACAGAGCUCACUACCACCAUUACUUUUGGAGGAUCCCAGUUGGCUUCACAUCCAUUACUUUCACACCUUUACCAUCGUGUUUACCCUCAGCCUUCUCACGUCUCCAUCACCAUAACUGAAAAAUCCUUGCCUUUUCCUUCUCACUCUGCACAUUUCCAAUCACUUGACUGAUUUCUUGUUAUUUCUCUCACCAACCCCCCACUCAUCCCCCAGUUCAGACCCCCAUCACUUCUCUCUUGCACUAUUGCAAGGCCUUCCAGUUCCACAUCCUGUCUAAAGUCUCUCUCUACAUCCAAUUAAGGAGAGACUCAGCAGUCCAAAUGGCCUUCCUACAGGGUAGCUCUGAUUACAUCAGCCUCUACCCAACAAACUCUGGGCUCCCCAUUAAAUAUAAAAUUCACGCUUGGGCAUUUCCAUUUCUUUACAACCAGGCCCAUUCAAAGCUUUCCAGUUUCCUUGUUCUUGACUCCUCUCUGAAGAUCCCACAGUAAUACCAGACUGCAAUACUUGGUCUUUCUUACCCAUGAUUCUCCUUAGAGCCUCGUUAUAAUGUGCCUGGGACAGCAAUACCUAGUUCAAAAUGACAGUGUGACAAAUUCCCAUUGGCCAUUCUCUUUGACAAAAGGAAGAUUUGGGGGACGAAAAGGUUACAGAUAAAAUGAAGGGAUAAAGUAGACACGGGGAAGGGUUAAUAUGAAAUAGCGCAGAUAGGUAGACUGAAGAAAAAGACAAGUUUCCCAAGGGAAGCCACAAUUAGCCAGGAGAAAGGAAAUCCUCCAAGAGGUGGAGAAAGCGCUUGUCUGGCAGGACAGACUGACUAGAGCUAGCCAGACUCGGGAGCAGGGAGCCAUGAGGGGGAGGGAGGAGGGAGAGUCCCACUGAGAGGGCUGAGGCCCGAAGGGAACUGAGCAGAGAUUGUCAUCAUAAGCAGACCUUUCAUAAGGGAAAAUGCAGACAGAAAGAGAAACAAAGAAAAAGACAGAGAGAGAGACAGACACAGAGACACAGACAUAGAGAAGACAGAGACAGAGACAUGCACACAGAGAUAGAAUGAGAGAGAGGGAGACAGAGACAGAGAGACAGACAGAAACAGAGACAGAAAUCAAGACAGAAAUAGUCAGACAGAGACACAGACAGACAAAGAGAUAGAGACAGACAGUCAGGACACAGGCACCCACACAGAGAUAGAAUGAGAGAGACAGAGGCAGACACACAGAUACAGCAACAGCGAUAGAGAGACAGAUUCAGAGAGACAGAGACAGAAAUAGAGACAAAGAGACAGAGAAAGAGAGACAGUAGAGACAGAGACCAAUAGAGACAUAGAGACAGAGCAACACACAGACAGAGACGAGGCAGACAGAGACAAAGAGACACACACUUAGAAAGAUAACAACAGAAAGAGAUAGAUAGAUGGAAAAAGAGACAGAGGGACAUACAGAGAAAAACACGAGGAGAGGAAAUAGAGACAGACAGAGACAGAGAGAUACAGAAAGAGACAGAGACAGAAAAAGAGACAAAGAAACAGACAUGAAGAGAGACACAUGUUGUGUCCUGCUUUCUGGAGCCCCCAAAUUGGGGUGACAAAACAUAAUGAGCUUUCUAGAGCCCCCACACCAGAGUGAUUAAGAUAUACUAUCAUAGUAGAAGAGUGAGGCGGAUCUCCUGAGGAUGGUGGGAAAAUGGAGUCUGUUUAUUUCAAGGACUUUCCCCUUUUUAUAAUGUAACAAAAACAACACUGAGCACGUGGGACCACACGAACAACUUGCUAUUGUACGUAGUUUGCCACCUUGUCUCACUCUGCCUCAAUCUCUACACAGGUUGUCACACACUGCCCCUUGACUUCUCAGGAAGGCCUAGAGCCCUUAGGGAAGAUGGGGAGCCCAGGUUCCCUCUGGGCUGAAGGGUCUUAUACCUCACCCAGAGUUCUCACAUUAUCUGUGACCCUCUACAGGCACACACAGAGUCAGAAACAGAGACAGAGAGUGAGAGUGAGAGAGAGAGAAAUGGAAGAGACAAAGAGAAACAGAGAGACAGAGACAGAAAGAGACACAGAUAGACAGAAUCAGACCAACAUAAAGACAGAAAGAGAGACUAAGACAGGCAGACAAAGAUAGCGACAGAGACAAAGAGACAGAAAAAGAGAGGCAGGAG